GUGGGGAAUAUUGGACAAUGGGCGAAAGCCUGAUCCAGCAAUGCCGCGUGAGUGAUGAAGGCCCUAGGGUUGUAAAGCUCUUUUACCAGGGAUGAUAAUGACAGUACCUGGAGAAUAAGCUCCGGCUAACUCCGUGCCAGCAGCCGCGGUAAUACGGAGGGAGCUAGCGUUGUUCGGAAUUACUGGGCGUAAAGCGCGCGUAGGCGGUUUUUUAAGUCAGAGGUGAAAGCCCGGGGCUCAACCCCGGAAUUGCCUUUGAAACUGGAAAACUUGAAUCUUGGAGAGGUCAGUGGAAUUCCGAGUGUAGAGGUGAAAUUCGUAGAUAUUCGGAAGAACACCAGUGGCGAAGGCGACUGACUGGACAAGUAUUGACGCUGAGGUGCGAAAGCGUGGGGAGCAAACAGGAUUAGAAACCCGAGUAGUCC
RNAcentral lists this ribosomal RNA (425 nucleotides) under uncultured bacterium. Its description in RNAcentral is "partial 16S ribosomal RNA". It matches the Rfam family "Bacterial small subunit ribosomal RNA", at positions 354 to 796 of the family's 1533-position model. The record is from RNAcentral.